RNAcentral lists this transfer RNA (72 nucleotides) under Ideonella sp. MAG2. It matches the Rfam family "tRNA". Rfam says of the family: Transfer RNA (tRNA) molecules are approximately 80 nucleotides in length. Their secondary structure includes four short double-helical elements and three loops (D, anti-codon, and T loops). Further hydrogen bonds mediate the characteristic L-shaped molecular structure. tRNAs have two regions of fundamental functional importance: the anti-codon, which is responsible for specific mRNA codon recognition, and the 3' end, to which the tRNAs corresponding amino acid is attached (by aminoacyl-tRNA synthetases). tRNAs cope with the degeneracy of the genetic code in two manners: having more than one tRNA (with a specific anti-codon) for a particular amino acid; and 'wobble' base-pairing, i.e. permitting non-standard base-pairing at the 3rd anti-codon position. Lineage: Bacteria; Pseudomonadati; Pseudomonadota; Betaproteobacteria; Burkholderiales; Sphaerotilaceae. The record is from Rfam by way of RNAcentral.
GUGGCCGUCGCCUAGUGGUGAAGGCUCAAGGUUGUGACCCUUGCAUCGCCGGUUCGAAUCCGGCCGGCCACC